CCUACGGGUGGCAGCAGUGGGGAAUAUUGCUCAAUGGGCGAAACCCUGAAGCAGCAACGCCGCGUGGAGGAUGAAGGUUUUCGGAUUGUAAACUCCUUUUGUUCGGGAAGAUACUGACGGUAUCUAACGAAUAAGCACCGGCUAACUACGUGCCAGCAGCCGCGGUAAUACGGCGGGUGCAAGCGUUACUCGGAAGCACUGGGCGUAAAGAGCGCGUAGGCGGGAUAGCAAGUCAGAUGUGAAAUCCUAGGGCUUAACCAUAGAACUGCAUUUGAAACUGUUAUUCUAGAGUAUGGGAGAGGUAGGCGGAAUUCGUGGUGUAGGGGUAAAAUGCGUAGAGAUCAAGAGGAAUACUCAUGGCGAAGGCGACCUGCUAGAACAUAACUGACGCUGAGGCGCGAAAGCGUGGGGAGCAAACAGGAUUAGAUACCCCAGUAGUC
Molecule: ribosomal RNA, 440 nt
Filed under: uncultured bacterium
Lineage: Bacteria
Description: partial 16S ribosomal RNA
Rfam family: Bacterial small subunit ribosomal RNA
Source: RNAcentral